GACGAACGCUGGCGGCGUGCUUAACACAUGCAAGUCGAACGCUGAAGCUCAGCUUUUGUUGGGUGGAUGAGUGGCGAACGGGUGAGUAACACGUGAGUAACCUGCCCCCUUCUUUGGGAUAACGCCCGGAAACGGGUGCUAAUACUGGAUAUUCACUGGUCUUCGCAUGGGGGUUGGUGGAAAGGGUUUUUCUGGUGGGGGAUGGGCUCGCGGCCUAUCAGCUUGUUGGUGGGGUGAUGGCCUACCAAGGCUUUGACGGGUAGCCGGCCUGGGAGGGUGACCGGGCACAUUGGGAGUGAGAUACGGCCCAGACUCCUACGGGAGGCAGCAGUGGGGAAUAUUGCACAAUGGGCGCAAGCCUGAUGCAGCGACGCCGCGUGAGGGAUGGAGGCCUUCGGGUUGUGAACCUCUUUCGCUCAUGGUCAAGCCGCAACAAUGGUUGUGGUGAGGGUAGUGGGUAAAGAAGCGCCGGCUAACUACGUG
Molecule: ribosomal RNA, 483 nt
Filed under: uncultured bacterium
Lineage: Bacteria
Description: partial 16S ribosomal RNA
Rfam family: Bacterial small subunit ribosomal RNA
Source: RNAcentral